This 815-nucleotide unclassified non-coding RNA is filed under the name Hevea brasiliensis (rubber tree). The record is from RNAcentral. Lineage: Eukaryota; Viridiplantae; Streptophyta; Magnoliopsida; Malpighiales; Euphorbiaceae.
UACACAGGAACACCACCUCCAUCAUCUUCCUACCCCUUAUGGCACCACUACUGCUCCCCCACCAACUCCAUCGGCACACUCUAAUCAUAAUCUCCUUUCCACUUCUGAAGCCGCUGACUCUCUAUCUCGUCUUCUCCACCGUAUCCCACCCACCCUUUCCCUCUCCUUUCCCGGUCGCCGUCAAUCUCCUCCACCAACCACCGUCUCUCCUCAUCUCAUCUCUCUUUCCGAUGCAAAAUCAAUUCUUCACUCUAACCUCCUUUUCGCGGCAAAACAACACGGUUUCUUCCAGCUCACACAACACUCCAUCUCCUCUCACCUCGCUCAAUCAGCUGAAUCGGAAUCUGCAUCCAUUUUCAAUGAUGAGAAACAACUCUGCUUUCCGAAGAACUGGCCCUUAGGCUUCGAUAAUGAUGAGGAUGACGACGAUGACGUUGUCAGCGGCCGGUCAAUUUGUCUCGACGAGUCAAGUUCAAUGGAAUUAGGAUUUAGUUCUAUUCAUGAAUUUACUUCCCAAAUGGAAAAACUAGGGUUGGAGUUGAUUGAAGAACUGGCGUGUGCUGUUGGGUUUGAGAACCCGGUAAGAGAAGAUAGGACCCGCCUCUGUUCAUUGAUGUGGAUAUCCGACACCGAAAGCGGCUCAAAUAACAUGCCACUUUCACCGGGUCGGAUUUACCCGUAUGUAGUCGGGUUAAAUUACCAAAUACGUUGCCGGAAGUACUCCAUGUUGGCUGAUUCCAGUUGGGUAUCUGUCACUCCUCAAGUCGACUCAGUCAUGGUAACGCUCGGCGAUAUUGCUCAGGUAUGGAGUAAUG